This 158-nucleotide long non-coding RNA is filed under the name Amphimedon queenslandica. RNAcentral's name for it is "uncharacterized LOC109586740". The record is from RNAcentral. Lineage: Eukaryota; Metazoa; Porifera; Demospongiae; Haplosclerida; Niphatidae.
UAUUAUUAUUAAUAAACUUUACAAUACAUACUAUAAAAUGUGACAAAAAGAAAAGAAACAAAAAAAGAGAUGUAUCGAAGGCAAACACAGUAACAAGACUGGCCACCUAAAAUUACAUAAAAAACAUUUAGACACAAUUGAAACAAGGACAACAAAAA